GAGCUUUUAAGAUGAAAUUAAAAAUAUGUUACGAACAGUAACGUAAAAAUGAAAUGCGCGAUGUGUUCCAUAGAACCAAGAGGAGAAACGAAGGAAAAAUUUGCAGCAGCAUUAUAGAUGGAUAUAGAAAACAACAUCAAAUCAUUGAGCUUAGAGCUUCAGUACAAUUCACAUACACAACAAAGAUAAAAGAGUGCAAUAUGAAUGGCAAACAAGUCUCCCUCACUAGUGCAGCCCUAUAAAUGACUGUAGAGCUCACUGGUCUCUUACCAAUUUACAAGUCUCUGCAUCCUUGAUAAAUAGUUUGCGAAACUGAUUGUUCUUUCCAGUUCACACAAAUGGUGGAAAAAAAUAGAAAUUUUCACAACCAAACCCGAUGGGAAAGAAACAAAGCGAAUCCCUACAAAUGGUCCUUCUAUCUAAUCCAAAGCAUGAAGAAAUAAGAGUGGGUGCUUUAUGAUAACUAUAGACUACUCCCACCUCUUUAGUUCACAAGAAAAAGGAAUUCCAAUGUUCUCAAUCUUUCAUAACCUUAUCACUAAAUACUUUCAUACGCUUACAAAGAGCUACAAAAUAUCUGAUAGCCCACAUCUCCUUUUCCGACAGGAAAUUGCCCCCUGUUCCCAUUGCUGCUACUGUCUAAUCUUCUGCUUCUGGUAGCUGUAAACUUUCUCCUAAUAAUUCACAAAAAAUCCGCAGAAAUGCUGCUUCGGGACGAUCGAAAAAUCUCACUAAGCUAAUUUUCCUCCUAAUCAAAUCUUGCAAGAACGGAAAAUAAAUUACAGCAGCUCUAGGAAUAAUUCUCUUCUCCGUGGUCGGUGAAUGCAAUCACACGCAUAACAAGCACCGAUGCAAAGAUUCAAUAGAAAGAUCCGAAUUCUCUCUGAGCAGCUUUAAUAGCUAGGGAGCUUCAUUAUAUUUCAUCAAUCUCUUCAUGAAGGUUUUUUUCAGGAUACAAGGGCAAUGUACUUGCG
Molecule: long non-coding RNA, 974 nt
Filed under: Citrus maxima (pomelo)
Lineage: Eukaryota; Viridiplantae; Streptophyta; Magnoliopsida; Sapindales; Rutaceae
Description: long non-coding RNA (CMAX_LNC003597)
Source: RNAcentral